CGUCCUGUUUAAUGAUGCCUGGUUACAAGUCAUCGCUAAUUUGAUGUUUUUGUUCUAUUUUUGCCUGGUUGAAUGGCUUAACUCCAUAUCGAAUGGCUGCUAGGAAGGGAGAAGAAAACACGAACUUCUAAACCCACUCAACCUUAGCUUGUUGUUGGUCUCCCGCAAGCUGGCAUGCCUGGUUAAUUGUCUAGUAGUUUAACGUUGAAGACAACUAACUGUCCUUGAUCAUCAUCAGCUCCCAUUGCCUCUUUUCAUUUUUGCUUUAUUUAGGUAACUGCUUCACCCCUUCACCUCUGAUCUUUAUUGAACAGUCUCUUGAGUUCCAGGCAGCCAUCUGGUCUACGCCCCUACUUUCGUUUUUCUGCUUUCACCUUCCUCCUCCUCUUUGGUCUUAAAGGUGGGGAAUUUUGGCUGCUGUUGUCCUGAAAAACUAGCCCUCAGCUGGAAAGCAGCCUUUCUCUGAACACACAUCAGGCCCGGCGCACCUGUCUGCUGGCAUGGACAUGCCAGGCACUUGUCUCCCUCGUGGCCCAUCAGACACAGCUGAAUACUUUUGGCUGAUGCACUUGCAAUUUGGUUAUUCAUUUUCUGCUCUCAGCUGAAUGUAGACCACCUGGCCAUAGCUUGGCUCACCCACUUCCUAGUUCUGGCAGAUGGAGUCUGGCAUCCACAGUGUGUUUCCUCUUUCCCUCCUUUUCCACUAACUCCAUUAGACUGAAAGCAAAGGCGCUAAGGAAACCAAGAAUGAAGUGGCAGAUAUGGGCCAUCAUCUUUGAGGGUGUGAAACACGAUUGGAAACCCUAUCUUGGUGGCCCUCUUUAGCUUGGAUCAUGUGGGUCUCACUCCAUGAUGGUGUGAAAGCCACCUCAAGGAAGGCUAGGGUGCUGCAACCUUAGCUCUGUUGCCAUAAACCCAGGAGCAGAGGACCACAGAGGAGGAAGUCCUGCUUAGAGGAACAGAAUGGACUGGUGGCGGCGAGCUUUGAGAUCCUACACCUCAAACCCAGGAACCUGUUAUGACUGGGUUAUCUCCUUCCUCUCAGUGGGAGUUGGAACAACUAUGAGUCGGCAUCCUGACUUUUGGCCCCUUUACAUGAAACCAUAUGUGGAGGAACUAGGUAAGAAUGGCUUCCAGACUCUGACCUGGAGUCUCUGUAGCCUCAUGCACUAUGAGACAGGGCUGGAGAGUCAUCAUGAGAACAUGAACCACCAUCCAGUUGGCAAGGCACUGGGAAGGAACUCAAAGGUCUGUGGAGAGCCCUAGCCUAGCACCUGAGGAUGCUAGUAUUAAAGACUGAGCCUCACCAGUGUCCCAUGGUUUCAGUUCCCCCAUCCUUAUUCAUGAAAGAGAAGAGAGUCUCAGCCAAUUGUAGCAAAGUCCUGGGAGCACAGAGGUGUGAGAGACAUGUUUACAGUGGUGAGGGAGUCUGAGGGUGUCCAGGCUUUCCCUUGGAAUGUGGCAAAAAGGAGGGCUUAAGGGUGGUUGGGAAGGCUGAGAGUCCUGGAAGGCCAGAGGUGGUAAUGGGCUCACUAAGGUGGGAGCAACCUUCCAGAAGGAAGAUGAGGGCCAGUGAGACACAUGAGGACAGGGACAGAUGUUUCGACAGAGCCUGUCACGGGGAUAGAAGUGGGCAUGGGGAAGAAGAACUCUGAACAAGAAGGCAUGAUCUGUUUCUUUAUUACAGUGUUAAUUUACUUAUGAGUGUUUUGCCUGAAUUUAUGUCUGUGCACCGCAUGCAUGCAAUGCCCACAUAGGCCAGAAGAUGACGACAGAUCCCCUUGAGCUGGAGUUACAGAUGGAUGUGAGCUACCAUGUAGGUGACUGGAACUGAACCUGGGUCCUCU
This is a long non-coding RNA of Mus caroli (Ryukyu mouse), 1847 nucleotides long. RefSeq lists it as uncharacterized. The record is from RefSeq and is a predicted model, not a curated record. NCBI's taxonomy places the organism in Eukaryota, Metazoa, Chordata, Mammalia, Rodentia, Muridae.